CGGGAAUCUUCCGCAAUGGACGAAAGUCUGACGGAGCAACGCCGCGUGAGCGAUGAAGGUCUUCGGAUCGUAAAGCUCUGUUGUUAGGGAAGAACAAGUACGAGAGUAACUGCUCGUACCUUGACGGUACCUAACCAGAAAGCCACGGCUAACUACGUGCCAGCAGCCGCGGUAAUACGUAGGUGGCAAGCGUUGUCCGGAAUUAUUGGGCGUAAAGGGCUCGCAGGCGGUCUUCUAAGUCUGAUGUGAAAUCUUGCGGCUUAACCGUAAGCGGUCAUUGGAAACUGGAGGACUUGAGUACAGAAGAGGAGAGUGGAAUUCCACGUGUAGCGGUGAAAUGCGUAGAGAUGUGGAGGAACACCAGUGGCGAAGGCGACUCUCUGGUCUGUAACUGACGCUGAGGAGCGAAAGCGUGGGGAGCAAAC
Molecule: ribosomal RNA, 425 nt
Filed under: uncultured bacterium
Lineage: Bacteria
Description: bacterial SSU rRNA
Rfam family: Bacterial small subunit ribosomal RNA
Source: RNAcentral